UGGCGGACGGGUGAGUAACGCGUGGGUAACCUGCCUCACACAGGGGGAUAACAGUUGGAAACGGCUGCUAAUACCGCAUAAGCGCACAGUACCGCAUGGUACAGUGUGAAAAACUCUGGUGGUGUGAGAUGGACCCGCGUCUGAUUAGCUGGUUGGCAGGGUAACGGCCUACCAAGGCGACGAUCAGUAGCCGACCUGAGAGGGUGACCGGCCACAUUGGGACCGAGACACGGCCCAAACUCCUACGGGAGGCAGCAUG
RNAcentral lists this ribosomal RNA (259 nucleotides) under uncultured bacterium. RNAcentral describes it as "partial 16S ribosomal RNA". It matches the Rfam family "Bacterial small subunit ribosomal RNA", at positions 96 to 353 of the family's 1533-position model. The record is from RNAcentral.